RNAcentral lists this ribosomal RNA (468 nucleotides) under uncultured bacterium. Its description in RNAcentral is "partial 16S ribosomal RNA". It matches the Rfam family "Bacterial small subunit ribosomal RNA", at positions 28 to 507 of the family's 1533-position model. The record is from RNAcentral.
GACGAACGCUGGCGGCGUGCUUAACACAUGCAAGUCGAACGGAAAGGCCCUGCUUUUGUGGGGUGCUCGAGUGGCGAACGGGUGAGUAACACGUGAGUAACCUGCCCUUGACUUUGGGAUAACUUCAGGAAACUGGGUCUAAUACCGGAUAGGAGCUCCUGCUGCAUGGUGGUGGUUGGAAAGUUUCGGCGGUUGGGGAUGGACUCGCGGCUUAUCAGCUUGUUGGUGGGGUAGUGGCUUACCAAGGCUUUGACGGGUAGCCGGCCUGAGAGGGUGACCGGCGACAUUGGGACUGAGAUACGGCCCAGAAUCCUACGGGAGGCAGCAGUGGGGAAUAUUGCACAAUGGGCGGAAGCCUGAUGCAGAAACGCCGCGUGCGGGAUGACGGCCUUCGGGUUGUAAACCGCUUUCGCAUGUGACGAAGCGUGAGUGACGGUAAUGGGUAAAGAAGCACCGGCUAACUACGUG